UCGGGAUAGCUCANUUGGUAGAGCAAAGGACUGAAAAUCC
RNAcentral lists this transfer RNA (40 nucleotides) under Astelia psychrocharis. RNAcentral's name for it is "partial tRNA-Phe". The record is from RNAcentral. Lineage: Eukaryota; Viridiplantae; Streptophyta; Magnoliopsida; Asparagales; Asteliaceae.